Long non-coding RNA from Sebastes umbrosus (honeycomb rockfish), 189 nucleotides. RefSeq lists it as uncharacterized. Lineage: Eukaryota; Metazoa; Chordata; Actinopteri; Perciformes; Sebastidae. The transcript has 2 exons. The record is from RefSeq and is a predicted model, not a curated record.
GGUGGUGUAAAAGUACUAACACUAUACGAGAGAGAGAGAAGCAGAGACGGAGAGACGGCGGGCUCUCCUCCUGGUACGUGAACAGCAGCGAGAGCUGGAGCGCUGUGAAGCCAGCAGUCCUGAUACCUCACAGUGGUCCUGCCAAGACAGCACACUACGCUAGCCCAGAGGCCAAACACACACUACAGA